This 76-nucleotide transfer RNA is filed under the name Porticoccaceae bacterium. RNAcentral's name for it is "tRNA-His". It matches the Rfam family "tRNA". From Rfam's summary of the family: Transfer RNA (tRNA) molecules are approximately 80 nucleotides in length. Their secondary structure includes four short double-helical elements and three loops (D, anti-codon, and T loops). Lineage: Bacteria; Pseudomonadati; Pseudomonadota; Gammaproteobacteria; Cellvibrionales; Porticoccaceae. RNAcentral also lists the same sequence under 3 other names. The record is from RNAcentral.
GUGGCUGUAGCUCAGUUGGUAGAGCACAGGAUUGUGGCUCCUGAGGUCGCGGGUUCGAUCCCCGUCAGCCACCCCA